AUUGAACGCUGGCGGCAGGCCUAACACAUGCAAGUCGAGCGAGCGGCGGACGGGUGAGUAAUGUAUGGGGACUGCCCGAUAGAGGGGGAUAACUACUGGAAACGGUGGCUAAUACCGCAUACUAUUGGAUAACCCAUAUGUGAUUAGCUAGUGGGUGGGGUAAAGGCUCACCUAGGCGACGAUCGCUAGCUGGUCUGAGAGGAUGAUCAGCCACACUGGGACUGAGACACGGCCCAGACUCCUACGGAGGCAGCAGUGGGGAAUAUUGGACAAGGGGGGCAACCCUGAUGCAGCCAUGCCGCGUGUAUGAAGAAGGCCUUAGGGUUGUAAAGUACUUUCGGCGGGGAAGCGGUAGCCGAAGAAGAAGCACCGGCUAACUCCGUGCCAGCCGCCGCGGUAAUAG
RNAcentral lists this ribosomal RNA (403 nucleotides) under uncultured bacterium. RNAcentral describes it as "partial 16S ribosomal RNA". It matches the Rfam family "Bacterial small subunit ribosomal RNA", at positions 30 to 526 of the family's 1533-position model. The record is from RNAcentral.